Long non-coding RNA from Mytilus californianus (California mussel), 487 nucleotides. RefSeq lists it as uncharacterized. The transcript has 3 exons. The record is from RefSeq and is a predicted model, not a curated record. Lineage: Eukaryota; Metazoa; Mollusca; Bivalvia; Mytilida; Mytilidae.
GAAGCUGUGGGAAAUCGUGUAUAACUUUAAAAAUUAUAAAACAGUGUAAGAAUAUAUAUGGCUUUACUGAAUAUAGAAAUGGAGGGUUUUGAAGAACGCAGUUCACAUGAAUACGAGCAUUCCUACAACAAGCUUGAUAUGGGCAAUGAGCUUACACUGUCGUGGAAGCAAUGGCUCAAAUUUUUAUUACUGACACUGACUAUAUGUUUGGUUUUUUCUGGAUUGGUACUAGCUGUAACUUAUUUUACAUUGCAUGCUGAACUAAGAGUAAACAUGGAGAAGACUUAUGAAGUCCUGAUGAAAACACAAAACAAUUCCGCUCAUGCCCUGACAUCUGGAAAAGAAAAAGAAGAAACCUUCAAAAAACCGGCAUUUUUUGCACGUUUAAAGCCACCCGAUCGCUCAGUGACCCUUAAAUCUAACAGCGUAGUUAAAUUUAAUGCUAUUACGACAAACAUCGGGAGUGGAUACGACUCAAAUACCGGAG